CUGCAGCCAAUUAAGCUGACUGUGCUGCCCUCCCCGUGACACCAGGUUUGCAAUGGUGGUAAACAGCAGCCUCCUGGGUAGUGUAUACAGCCUGUUUCUUGUACAGGCUGCCCUAAGGGAUUCUGGAGACAGCC
Molecule: non-coding RNA, 134 nt
Organism: Erinaceus europaeus (western European hedgehog)
Lineage: Eukaryota; Metazoa; Chordata; Mammalia; Eulipotyphla; Erinaceidae
Source: Rfam